UACGGAGGGUGCAAGCGUUAAUCGGAAUUACUGGGCGUAAAGCGCACGCAGGCGGUUAAUUAAGUUGGAUGUGAAAUCCCCGGGCUUAACCUGGGAACAGCAUUCAAGACUGGUUAGCUAGAGUCUCGUAGAGGGGGGUAGAAUUCCACGUGUAGCGGUGAAAUGCGUAGAGAUGUGGAGGAAUACCGGUGGCGAAGGCGGCCCCCUGGACGAAGACUGACGCUCAGGUGCGAAAGCGUGGGGAGCAAACAGG
This 253-nucleotide ribosomal RNA is filed under the name uncultured bacterium. Its description in RNAcentral is "partial 16S ribosomal RNA". It matches the Rfam family "Bacterial small subunit ribosomal RNA", at positions 524 to 776 of the family's 1533-position model. The record is from RNAcentral.